AGAGUUUGAUCCUGGCUCAGAACGAACGCUGGCGGCAUGCCUAACACAUGCAAGUCGAACGAACCCUUCGGGGUUAGUGGCGCACGGGUGCGUAACGCGUGGGAAUCUGCCCUUUGGUUCGGAAUAACAGUUAGAAAUGACUGCUAAUACCGGAUGAUGACUUCGGUCCAAAGAUUUAUCGUCAGAGGAUGAGCCCGCGUAGGAUUAGGUAGUUGGUGGGGUAAAGGCCUACCAAGCCGACGAUCCUUAGCUGGUCCGAGAGGAUGAUCAGCCACACUGGGACUGAGACACGGCCCAGACUCCUACGGGAGGCAGCAGUGGGGAAUAUUGGACAAUGGGGGAAACCCUGAUCCAGCAAUGCCGCGUGAGUGAUGAAGGCCUUAGGGUCGUAAAGCUCUUUUACCCGGGAUGAUAAUGACAGUACCGGGAGAAUAAGCUCCGGCUAACUCCGUGCCAGCAGCCGCGGUAAUACGGAGGGAGCUAGCGUUGUUCGGAAUUACUGGGCGUAAAGCGCACGUAGGCGGUUAUUCAAGUCAGAGGUGAAAGCCCGGGGCUCAACCCCGGAACUGCCUUUGAAACUAGAUGACUAGAAUCUUGGAGAGGUCAGUGGAAUUCCGAGUGUAGAGGUGAAAUUCGUAGAUAUUCGGAAGAACACCAGUGGCGAAGCGACUGACUGGACAAGUAUUGACGCU
This 692-nucleotide ribosomal RNA is filed under the name uncultured bacterium. RNAcentral's name for it is "bacterial SSU rRNA". It matches the Rfam family "Bacterial small subunit ribosomal RNA", at positions 8 to 747 of the family's 1533-position model. The record is from RNAcentral.